UGCACCUACCUGUGAUUGUUGUUAAUAAUAUUUAAGCGGUCUGAGUGUACCGCACGGUAGCAGCUGCAUACAAGAUUUUCAGCUGCUGAAAGCUGUUAUAUCAAUCGAUCGUUCCUGAGAGUGUGACAGUAAUAAAGCGCUCGUCAAUGUGCAUUAGUUAGUAGUAAUCACAGAAAAGCGUCAGUGGUCAGUGAUGACUACCGUCAGAAAGAGGCUUUCACUACAUCACCCCUUUAUAGAAGAUUAAUGAGGGCUUAUGCACAUUGUGAUAAAGUUCGAGCCGCCGAUUUUAUAAACAGGUUGUGAAUGCACGAUAAUUGCUAUCUAGUUAUCAUAAACUAUAUUGUAAUUAAAUUAGGUGGACAAUAAGCUUUCAUCGCUCUCAACGGCAAGUUUUUUUUUUUACAUUUGCGCUUUGACUUGUACAAUGUAAAAUGCCAACUUGAAUUAAUGCCGCUUCAUAGGCCUUCUACAGAAAACCCAACUAGGUUUAGCGAAACCCGUACAAAGUAAUGUUUAAUGGCUUGAGCAAAAAAGGCUUUCAAACUUAAAGACGACUGACUGCAAGUCACAGGUUUGCCAGUUGUUUUUUGAGAUCGAGAAUUUACCCGUCAGUCACAGGAGUCUUUUGAUGAUCGUGCGUUCAACCAAUACUUUUCGCUGAACACGUUUACCUACGUAAUAAAUAGCGAAAAGCAAAUAGUAAUAUUGGAUUAUCUUCACAGAUUGGCAUAUAUAUAUUUGACGUACCAAGCAUGUGUUUAAAUUUUAGUUUGUACUGAAUAUCUACAACACUUACUAUACUGAAAACUGGUAUUGGUACUAUGGUUAACUGCCAUACCGUGACGGCCAUCAUUACCAAAAAAGGUUUUUCUGUUCAAAAUAAUCCAACAAAGUUUAGAAAAUCGGUUGAAUAGAAUGAUCCAAAUAUCAGUCUGAGUAGUAUAUUAUUAGCAACGAAUCAAAGAAGUAAUCAUCACAUAGUUUUUUCACUUCGACCUCUUGCAGAUUACUCAUUUUUAAACUUGAAUUUUAGGUGUCGCCGCUGCUUCUUCAAGUUGUCAUACUAUAACAGAAUGCAUAUAAAUGUAUAGAAUUGUAUUUUCUUUCAUGCUUGCAGUAUAGGAAUUACUUUUGUCUCAAAUUACUAUAUGCCGAAUUGUAAUGCCGAAAUGUAACUUUUUCGGCUGUAUUAAAAAAACAUCUGAAAUUAUGAAGUAAGCUAAAUGUGUAUUUCUAUACGAGACCUUUAAUAGGAUUGUGCCGUACUCGAUACGGAGCAGGAUUCAGUCUCGCCUACUACUGGACGCUACGCCACUCAUAUGACCCAGCCAUAGGCUCAAAAUAUAAAUGUCAGGUGUACCCAGCAAAUGUUGUUCUUACAGCAACCCUGGAAUCCCUGAAGAAUCAUACUGACUGUUGGGUGUUUGCAGUCUGCAUGUUUAAAUAAAGGUUUCAAGUGUAAAGUCGGUAGCUGCUUUAGGACUUACAGCAUACGACGCACGUAUGCUUAAAACCUCUAGCUAAUUUUUUGUGGAACAGUAACUUGACAGUACUUGUGACUUUAGAUUCUGGUGCAGGCCGCCGUCGCAAUUUCAAACAUGAAUGACUUCUUUGCAGGCCAGGGAGAAGUCGCAGAACUACAAUUCGGAAACUAUAUCGGACGACUCAGCCGUGAUGACGCGGUCUACAAAUAUUAAAAAUGAAAGAACUGAUCCAAUGUUUGCCGUUGAACAGAAGCUAAAGCAAAUGUGUCUUCGAGGCUCACCUCGAGGUGACAUAGCUAGAUCAAUCUCGUAUUCGGAUCAUUUUAUUAAAUGAUUGUGCGGCUCGACAUUUUCUUCGUUUGCGCAAACGAAAUCCCGCCUGUGGCGAAAGGUACGCUGAUGCUGCCUGCAGAUGAGAGGACCCCGGUUUUUUGUUCAGCAGGUGCCCGCUCGAAGGACGGAGCUCGGCGUCCGUCUACCAGAACCUAUCGCCAUUGUGUAAAAAAACUACGCCUUACCUAGUGACUUUACGCUGAGGUAGUAAAGUCAUAUGAAAUAAUUUAAACCUUAAAAAAGGUAUUUACCUAUAAUCUAGCACCUGUCGGUUACCCUCAUGUUCCCUCUCGACGGCUCUUUGUAAUAGUGUAAUUUUUGGGGCCUUUAAUUUGAUUAGUUUGCUGCAUAUUAUUUAGUGACAUAAAGUCGUUAAAUGUAUUCUAGCUACCAACGACAACCUGAUAGCAACGCAGCAGCAAAGCGACGUUACCGAUGCGGUGACCAUGAUGGGGAUAACGAACAGUAGUAGCAAUGAUGACAUUCGCUGAAAUUGUCGUAAGUACAGUUUCUUUCCGUUAGGGUUGUGAAAAAGGCCGCCCGUGCAUAAUUCGUGGUGGAAGCGGUGUAUCGCGAAACGGGCUUCAACGUGGUACUUCAUUCGCUCCAGCUGCUUCAAGCCAUUAUUUCUCAUCGCUCCAUGUUGUGAAAUGCGCCACUUAUUUUUACAAACUGUUCCAUUCUGUCGAGGCACUCGAAUAAAACCUCGCUUGCCGGGAGUUCACAGGGAAAUCCUGUCUUCGAUCAGUAGUACGGUGUCGGCAAUAGUUGAAAUAGACAUUUCCUGAUCAUGCGAUGAAAGGUUAUAGCACGUUUCAAAAAGAAGGUCUUAAUAGAGUAAUGCAGAAUUCUUAUUAGUAAAGUGCUUUCAAAUUAUAUUUAACCCGUAAGAUGGUGCCUGGGCCAGAUUUAGUUUAAGUAAGCAAAGCAUUGUAGUAGGAGAGAGGCGAUUUUGGACUUCGAUUGCACAUGAUGCGGUCAACGCUUUUUUUCUGUUUUCUACAUCUUUUGUUGAUAUGCGAGGUGGAACUCUUUUACAAGAGUUGAGUUACAAGAAUCUGUUGAUGUGCAAGCAGAAAUAUCUUGCAAGAGAUAGUGUAUUACCAGCCACGAUCCCAAAUUGACUGUUAGUUCGAAUUUGUUAUUGCCGUCAAAGAUCUGAUCAAGGCGUGCUAAACAUAAAAUGUGCUAGGGCUGUAUAUUAUCAAACCAUAAGAGUAAAGCGUAAUUUCAAUUAAGUUUCUUAAGCUUUUUAUACUGUAGGGAAGGUUUUCCACUGUAAGACACGGUAAGACUGAGAACAAAAAAAGGUUUAGAUGUUGAUUCAGAUCUUGAGCCAAGCCUGUUUUUCAUAAGAAGAUAGACAGCUCACCCAGUUUAUCGUUUAUGCUCAUUUUAUUCUCAGCUAGGAUCGUAAUCAGCAGGUCGAGUACGCUUCGUGGUCAGCCCAUGUACGUUAAGAUAGGCAGAACUAGAUCUCUAGGUGGGAUGAUUAAUGUGACCUUAACAGAGCGCGCAGUCUAGCCAAGGGCCAGAACGAGGUCGCUCUUGAGGAAUUCAUUACGGCUUUCGUCCAGGCUCGUUGUUCUGUGGUUAUACAGGCUUUCGAGGACCUGCAGGACCUCCGGUACGGGAACCUCUUCAUAGGCUUACUAACUGCAGAAAACAAUGAUACCAUUCGAGGAGCCGUAUCACUCAUCGCGAACACACAAACGCAGUAAUUUAUUAAUGCAGCUUGUCAAACAUACGGUCAAGCUAUGACGUGUUAACUGUUUGUAUAACUGCCGGCCUGGGACCGCUAUUUGCCGAUUCUCCGAAAUUAUCAAGUAUUUCGUGUUUUGUGUGGCGUAUGUUCUUUGGCAGAUUGUAUUGGACGCUGCGGCUGGAGAGUAAGCACUCUUGUUAGGUGUCUAAAAGUGUCCUGAGCUUUUGGAGCGAAGCAACAAAAACUAUCGAUGCUUUCUAGGGGUAGCGGGUCAGACAGACGACUGUAGAAUCUUGAUGAGAUGGCGCAUAUACUCUCCUAUGUUGAUGAUAUAAGUUAUUGAACGAUUUUGUGUACUUGCCCACGUAGGAUUUCCAUAUCCAGGCGAUGCGGCAAAGCUUGGCUUCUGGAGGAUUUUACUAACACAACAAGAUCUACAAUAAUAGGGAUAUCGCUUGUAUAUAUUUUCUCUUUUCCAGCAACCUAUUUCUUUUGAAAAAGUAAAUUUUACUUCAGGUAAAAUUCGUUUUAUACGCUUAAUCAACUGUCCAACGUGUCGCCCAUGCCGACCCUGACUCCGCGGCGCGAACAUAAGCUGUUAUGGUUAAUGAUAGUUAUUUAUUUUGUCAAGAGUAAAAGUGCCCUUAGCUGUUAUUUUAUUGAAUGCGCUUAACGACGUUCUAUAUAGUUAAUAGUUUUUUAUGCGACUUUUGAGAGAUUCGAGGAAGGGAAAAUGAAAGAUUUUGAGAAGAAGCUUAGAUUUUGUAUAUAAAAUUCCACUUGGGUCGUCGAAAUAAGUUCCAACGGUUAAUAAGAUUUUUGUUACCCACUGCACCUUUGUACAUCUUCUGUGCUUAUUAAGUGUUUUAAUAAAUAUCGGUUGACGCACGCUUUCUAUUUACGGAUUAAAGAAGGGAUAUUUUGAAAGUGACUAAUGAGUGAUUUAGGUAUUAAAUUUAAGAUGUAAUUGCAGUAAAUAAUGGCUGUGCUGGAUAAAUAUGACCAUGCGAAAUGCUUUUGCAGUACCUGUUUGUACUUAAAUACUGUCUUAAAAACGACUAAUAAAAAAGUCCGAAGUUCAGAAGCCCUUUUCCGUAUAUAUGCGGUAAUAGUAACACGUGCCGUUGCAGAUAUAAGAAACAAUCUACUUUUUGAGCAUAAUUUGAAAGUUUCCAUAUCAAAUGGUGGAUAUUUUGCAGAUGCCCGGAAAAGCCUGCAAAGCGUCCAUUCAGUAAAAUCCAACAGAUCACAUCUGCGACGAGAUUUUGUUUCAUUGUUGAUGUCAGGCCAUGGACUGACAGGCUGGUCAUCUGGAGGUGUUACUAACAAACCUUACAAAGAAAAGCUGAUUAAUAACAGCUUCUUUGCAGAUCUGAUUGGACAUUCAAUAGAGGGGUCUGGAGAAGCGAUCUUGCUAGUAAUACUCUGGAAACUCCUGGGCCCCAAAUGGAGUCUCUGCGCUGUACAAAGGUCCGGCUUCACUGGAAAGUAAAACCGGGACAGCCUAUUCAAGCUAAUCGGUUGAACGGAGUGUUCAGCGCUUAUACCACUAGAUGCCAAAGUGAAACGCCUUAGUAACUUAGUUCAGGUAGAACCAGUUCCACCAGUACAUCCACAAAGUCUUAGAAAUAGUACGCCAAAUUUUUAUUUGAGGUAGGCCAUAAGAACAGGGUAAUUUGCUAGGGGGUUUCUAUGUAGGGAGCGGUAUGACAGUAAAGAAAAUGCCGGAUCGUCGCAUUGCACUUUUGGUAGCGGCAUAAAAACAGGACGAGAAGUGAAGGCCAGAGGUUAGUUUUUUAACCCGGCCUAACGCAAUAGUUCUUUUAUAGUGAUUAGUGGAUUAAUUUUCUAUGUAUAUUGCAUUGGUUUAGCAGAAAAUUAUAGUUGCGGCUUUAAUAAAGUAAAAGUUGCAUCAGUGCUUUACGCGUGAAUUGAUAGUCAAUCAAUAUUAACAAUGUAGAUUGAAAAUUUCAGGCUCUUAACAAAGUUAUGAUGUAUUAGCACAACAUAUAUAUACAAAAAUUAAAUCAAUGUGUAAACACGCUGAGAUAUAGAAAAACGUUAAGUUUUAUUUAGGUAGAAAUACUGUGCAAUAGUUGAAUAGCAAAAAUAAAUUUGCGUUUAAGUAGCAUUCGCAUUGAAUACCUAUUGCUUGGACGA
This 5685-nucleotide long non-coding RNA is filed under the name Varroa destructor (honeybee mite). Its description in RNAcentral is "uncharacterized LOC111252856, transcript variant X3". Lineage: Eukaryota; Metazoa; Arthropoda; Arachnida; Mesostigmata; Varroidae. The record is from RNAcentral.